AUGAAUGAAUGAAUCCCUACUCCAAUGUGCAGUGCUGGGAUAACGAGUUAUUUACUGAUGGCUUAGCAGAUGCCAGGAACUCCUGCAAAUACUAGUACUUCACAGGCAUCAUUUUCAUGUAACUGUUACAGUCACCCAGCGAGAGAGGUGCUAUUAGGAUCCCCAUCGUGAGGGGAGACACUGAUGGGGGCACAGAGAGGGUAGGUGACUUGUCAGUGGUCACCCACGACUCAGCAGCAGCGCUGGAAGAGGACACAGGACGGCCAAGUGGGGCAGUCCAGCUUCAGUGUCCAUCUUCCUAAGCUCUAGGUGAUGUUGCCCAGUAACCCCAAGACCUGGUGAGGUGGCUGCUGAGGGGGCCAAGCACUGAUGGCUACGUGGACUACACAGUCUCAAUCACCAAGGAUCAUCUUCCAUUCCAGCCCAGGAUUUCCUUAGCAGCUUCUGCCAGGAAGAGGGGGGAAGGGGGAUCCCAACCACGCCCCUACCCCAGGUCCCCGCCCGAGGGCAGCAGGGACUUUAAGCCUGCACAGUCUCUCAGUCUCAGGGGCCAUCCAGAGACUCACAGGGUUAUGCGGCUGCAGAGGCCGCCGUGCCCCUCCCCAGAGGCCGCUGGCCCCUGCUCACCUCCUCCAGGGUCAGAGGCCUCCCUGCCUGCCUUGGCAGCCCAUUCGGUCUUAGGAUGUCUCCUCUGCCGGAAGAGCCUUCUGACACUGAGCCCCAAACAUUCUCUUCCUCCUACUCAUUGGUCCACAGAAUAAGCUCACUCCUUCAGAUGCCCAGAGCCAGCCUCCCACGCCCCACCCUCAGCUCCGUUAGGAGUUAUGGUCUCCCGUGACUAUGUCCCAUCUCCCCUCACCAUCCCAGCCUCUAGGUUCUCCCAAAAAAGGCAAGGACAGCUCUCAACCAGCCUCCACACCAGGCCUCCCCGACGGCCCAGAUGCACAGAGGGAACGUGGUCUUCACCCUGCCAGGUGGAGAGGCCCGAGAGGACAGGACGAGGCAGACAGAGCGCCCGCCUCAGAGCCAACCCCAGGGGGCGGGGUGGGCACAGGGGAACUGCCCUCUGGCCCACAGCCUAGGGCCGGGAUUUGGCCCUUCCUCCCCCACCUUCCAGGUCAGCCUUAGGCCCCAUUGGACUCCGGACCACAUGGGGAAGGACCUACGCGGGCCUCUAGCUGAAACCAUGGUGAGCCAAGAGUGUCAGCACCUGAGACCUUGGGGCGCAGGGACCUGGGAGUGAGCAGGGUGGGUCUGCCCCGCUCCAGGGCCUGGGGCUCCACUGAGCCAGCUCUGCCGCCGCCACUCCCUUGGAGCCAAUUCCCCGAGGUCGACUCACCAGUUCACGCUUCCCCACCCGCCUCUGGCAUCUCCUACCCAAGACCCGUGCAGCUUCCACAGACCCCUGGCGUCGCGGGGCUAAGAAAGCCGCGCCUCGGACACUAAGCCUGGCAUGUCCAAGCUCUGCGCAUACAGGUCUGAGCCCCUGCAGCCCUCCUCCGAACCCGGCAGGUGCGUGGAGAGAAGGCAUGCGAGAAGAGGGAAAUCGGUGCCCAUUUAACGCAAGAGGCAUGCCCAGCUGAGGGAAGCCAAGCAAUGUGAGAAGGAAGUCGUAAGAAGAGCAAAACCAAGACUGAAGAUUUAAAAUGAAGACUUUAGGAACCAUUAGCGAGAGGUCUAGGGGGGGAAAAAAGGCUUUAACAAAAAAGUUUGAAAGCAAUGAUGAAGGGGUUGGGGAGUUGCCAGGAGAUUAGCUUGGCGAGGGACUUGUAAGCUGUGAUGAGUACAGGAGAUCCAGUUAUCCAGUUAUUUGAUGGGGCACUGAAAUAAAACUUCCUUUAAUGUCUCCUG
Molecule: long non-coding RNA, 1851 nt
Organism: Myotis myotis
Lineage: Eukaryota; Metazoa; Chordata; Mammalia; Chiroptera; Vespertilionidae
Exons: 2
Source: RefSeq, a predicted model, not a curated record